CCUACGGGAGGCAGCAGUGAGGAAUAUUGGACAAUGGGCGCAAGCCUGAUCCAGCCAUGCCGCGUGCAGGAUGACGGUCCUAUGGAUUGUAAACUGCUUUUAUACAGGAAGAAACACCUCUACGUGUAGAGACUUGACGGUACUGUAAGAAUAAGGAUCGGCUAACUCCGUGCCAGCAGCCGCGGUAAUACGGAGGAUCCAAGCGUUAUCCGGAAUCAUUGGGUUUAAAGGGUCCGUAGGCGGUUUAGUAAGUCAGUGGUGAAAGCCCAUCGCUCAACGGUGGAACGGCCAUUGAUACUGCUAGACUUGAAUUAUUAGGAAGUAACUAGAAUAUGUAGUGUAGCGGUGAAAUGCUUAGAGAUUACAUGGAAUACCAAUUGCGAAGGCAGGUUACUACUAAUUGAUUGACGCUGAUGGACGAAAGCGUGGGUAGCGAACAGGAUUAGAUACCCUGGUAGUCCACGCCGUAAACGAUGGAUACUAGCUGUUGGGCGCAAGUUCAGUGGCUAAGCGAAAGUGAUAAGUAUCCCACCUGGGGAGUACGAACGCAAGUUUGAAACUCAAAGGAAUUGACGG
This 576-nucleotide ribosomal RNA is filed under the name uncultured bacterium. RNAcentral describes it as "bacterial SSU rRNA". It matches the Rfam family "Bacterial small subunit ribosomal RNA", at positions 338 to 916 of the family's 1533-position model. The record is from RNAcentral.